This 467-nucleotide ribosomal RNA is filed under the name uncultured bacterium. RNAcentral describes it as "partial 16S ribosomal RNA". It matches the Rfam family "Bacterial small subunit ribosomal RNA", at positions 38 to 506 of the family's 1533-position model. The record is from RNAcentral.
GAAGAAAGAGGGAGGAGUGAUUAACACAUGCAAGUCGAACGGAAAGGCCCUGCUUUUGUGGGGUGCUCGAGUGGCGAACGGGUGAGUAACACGUGAGUAACCUGCCCUUGACUUUGGGAUAACUUCAGGAAACUGGGGCUAAUACCGGAUAGGAGCUCCUGCUGCAUGGUGGGGGUUGGAAAGUUUCGGCGGUUGGGGAUGGACUCGCGGCUUAUCAGCUUGUUGGUGGGGUAGUGGCUUACCAAGGCUUUGACGGGUAGCCGGCCUGAGAGGGUGACCGGCCACAUUGGGACUGAGAUACGGCCCAGACUCCGACGGGAGGCAGCAGUGGGGAAUAUUGCACAAUGGGCGGAAGCCUGAUGCAGCAACGCCGCGUGCGGGAGGACGGCCUUCGGGUGGUAAACCGCUUUCGCCUGUGACGAAGCGUGAGUGACGGUAAUGGGGAAAGAAGCACCGGCUAACUACGU